CAGUAAGAUCCUAUCAUUCUGAACACAUCCCAUCUUGUCUAUCUUUGGAAGCUAAGCAAACUCAGGCCUGGUUUAGUAAUGGGAUGGGAGACCAUCAGAGGAUCCUUGGAUUUUCAGA
RNAcentral lists this ribosomal RNA (118 nucleotides) under Pogona vitticeps (central bearded dragon). Lineage: Eukaryota; Metazoa; Chordata; Lepidosauria; Squamata; Agamidae. The record is from RNAcentral.